ACUCCUACGGGAGGCAGCAGUAGGGAAUCUUCCACAAUGGGCGAAAGCCUGAUGGAGCAACGCCGCGUGGGUGAAGAAGGUCUUCGGAUCGUAAAACCCUGUUGUUAGAGAAGAAAGUGCGUGAGAGUAACUGUUCACGUUUCGACGGUAUCUAACCAGAAAGCCACGGCUAACUACGUGCCAGCAGCCGCGGUAAUACGUAGGUGGCAAGCGUUAUCCGGAUUUAUUGGGCGUAAAGGGAACGCAGGCGGUCUUUUAAGUCUGAUGUGAAAGCCUUCGGCUUAACCGGAGUAGUGCAUUGGAAACUGGGAGACUUGAGUGCAGAAGAGGAGAGUGGAACUCCAUGUGUAGCGGUGAAAUGCGUAGAUAUAUGGAAGAACACCAGUGGCGAAAGCGGCUCUCUGGUCUGUAACUGACGCUGAGGUUCGAAAGCGUGGGUAGCAAACAGGAUUAGAUACCCUGGUAGUCCACGCCGUAAACGAUGAAUGCUAAGUGUUGGAGGGUUUCCGCCCUUCAGUGCU
This 521-nucleotide ribosomal RNA is filed under the name uncultured bacterium. Its description in RNAcentral is "bacterial SSU rRNA". It matches the Rfam family "Bacterial small subunit ribosomal RNA", at positions 335 to 847 of the family's 1533-position model. The record is from RNAcentral.